RNAcentral lists this ribosomal RNA (483 nucleotides) under uncultured bacterium. Its description in RNAcentral is "partial 16S ribosomal RNA". It matches the Rfam family "Bacterial small subunit ribosomal RNA", at positions 28 to 523 of the family's 1533-position model. The record is from RNAcentral.
GAUGAACGCUAGCGGCAGGCUUAAUACAUGCAAGUCGAGGGGGCAGCAAUGUCACCGGCGAACGGGUGCGUAACACGUAUGCAACCUACCUAUAUCAGGGGGAUAGCCCGAGGAAACCCGGAUUAAUACCGCAUCAUAUUAGGAUCGGCAUCGAUUUUAAUUGAAAGAUCUAUUGGAUAUAGAUGGGCAUGCGUAGGAUUAGCUAGUCGGUAAGGUAACGGCUUACCAAGGCUACGAACCUUAGGAGCUCUGAGCGGAGGAUCCCCCACACUGGCACUGAGAUACGGGCCAGACUCCUACGGGAGGCAGCAGUAGGGAAUAUUGGGCAAUGGGCGAAAGCCUGACCCAGCCAUGCCGCGUGCAGGACGACGGCCCUCUGGGUUGUAAACUGCUUUUGAAUGGGAAGAAAGGUAUGCUUGCGAGCGUAAUUGACGGUACCAUUAGAAUAAGCCACGGCUAACUACGUGCCAGCCGCCGCCGUAA